Molecule: ribosomal RNA, 348 nt
Filed under: uncultured soil bacterium
Lineage: Bacteria
Description: bacterial SSU rRNA
Rfam family: Bacterial small subunit ribosomal RNA
Source: RNAcentral
CCGCGAAAGCGGGCGCUAAUACCGCAUAUGUUCUGUGGAGGAAAGUGGGGACUCGCAAGGGCCUCAACGCUCUGGGCGCGGCCGAUGUCCGAUUAGCUAGUUGGCGGGGUAAGAGCCCACCAAGGCGAUGAUCGGUAGCUGGUCUGAGAGGAUGAUCAGCCACACUGGGACUGAGACACGGCCCAGACUCCUACGGGAGGCAGCAGUGGGGAAUUUUGGACAAUGGGGGAAACCCUGAUCCAGCCAUUCCGCGUGAGUGAAGAAGGCCUUCGGGUUGUAAAGCUCUUUUGUCCGGAACGAAACGGUUAGGUCUAAUAAGCCUGACUACUGACGGUACCGGAAGAAUAA